Molecule: ribosomal RNA, 506 nt
Filed under: uncultured bacterium
Lineage: Bacteria
Description: partial 16S ribosomal RNA
Rfam family: Bacterial small subunit ribosomal RNA
Source: RNAcentral
AGUGAACGCUGGCGGUAGGCCUAACACAUGCAAGUCGAACGGCAGCACAGGAGAGCUUGCUCUCUGGGUGGCGAGUGGCGGACGGGUGAGGAAUACAUCGGAAUCUACUUUUUCGUGGGGGAUAACGUAGGGAAACUUACGCUAAUACCGCAUACGACCUACGGGUGAAAGCAGGGGACCUUCGGGCCUCGCGCGAUUGAAUGAGCCGAUGUCGGAUUAGCCAGUUGGCGGGGUAAAGGCCCACCAAGGCGACGAUCCGUAGCUGGUCUGAGAGGAUGAUCAGCCACACUAGAACUGAGACACGGUCCAGACUCCUACGGGAGGCAGCAGUGGGGAAUAUUGGACAAUGGGCGCAAGCCUGAUCCAGCCAUACCGCGUGGGUGAAGAAGGCCUUCGGGUUGUAAAGCCCUUUUGUUGGGAAAGAAAUCCAGCUGGCUAAUACCCGGUUGGGAUGACGGUACCCAAAGAAUAAGCACCGGCUAACUUCGUGCCAGCCGCCGCAGUAA